RNAcentral lists this ribosomal RNA (258 nucleotides) under Burkholderia sp. ISO470_OTU695. RNAcentral's name for it is "partial 16S ribosomal RNA". It matches the Rfam family "Bacterial small subunit ribosomal RNA", at positions 30 to 289 of the family's 1533-position model. RNAcentral also lists the same sequence under 1 other name. The record is from RNAcentral. Lineage: Bacteria; Pseudomonadati; Pseudomonadota; Betaproteobacteria; Burkholderiales; Burkholderiaceae.
UUGAACGCUGGCGGCAUGCCUUACACAUGCAAGUCGAACGGCAGCACGGGGGCAACCCUGGUGGCGAGUGGCGAACGGGUGAGUAACACAUCGGAACGUGUCCUGUAGUGGGGGAUAGCCCGGCGAAAGCCGGAUUAAUACCGCAUACGACCUGAGGGAGAAAGCGGGGGAUCUUCGGACCUCGCGCUAGAGGGGCGGCCGAUGGCAGAUUAGCUAGUUGGUGGGGUAAAGGCCUACCAAGGCGACGAUCUGUAGCUG